This is a long non-coding RNA of Macaca mulatta (Rhesus monkey), 280 nucleotides long. RefSeq lists it as uncharacterized. The record is from RefSeq and is a predicted model, not a curated record. Lineage: Eukaryota; Metazoa; Chordata; Mammalia; Primates; Cercopithecidae.
CCUACACUCAUCACAGGCCAAAGCCCAGAAAUCACCCUCCCCACUGCAGACCAAAGAGCAAAUCACCGCCAACAAGGCUCCAAGACUCCCCGGAGUGUCCUGCUCAGGGUAACUGCAGGAGGCUCCAGGAUGAUAUGCAGACCCACUAGAUCAGAACAGCCUGAAUCCCUGAGUGACUGCAUGGAAGACAGCUGCCCUGGAGGAUUGCCCAACCUAGAGCCAACUUUACAGGAGUGAGAAAUAAAUAUUCUGAGUAUUGAGAAAUAAAUGUUUACAGAGA